RNAcentral lists this ribosomal RNA (490 nucleotides) under uncultured bacterium. RNAcentral's name for it is "partial 16S ribosomal RNA". It matches the Rfam family "Bacterial small subunit ribosomal RNA", at positions 30 to 507 of the family's 1533-position model. The record is from RNAcentral.
AUUGAACGCUGGCGGCAUGCUUUACACAUGCAAGUCGGACGGCAGCACAGAGAAGCUUGCUUCUUGGGUGGCGAGUGGCGAACGGGUGAGUAAUAUAUCGGAACGUACCGAGUAAUGGGGGAUAACUAAUCGAAAGAUUAGCUAAUACCGCAUAUUCUCUGAGGAGGAAAGCAGGGGACCUUCGGGCCUUGCGUUAUUCGAGCGGCCGAUAUCUGAUUAGCUAGUUGGUGGGGUAAAGGCCUACCAAGGCGACGAUCAGUAGCGGGUCUGAGAGGAUGAUCCGCCACACUGGGACUGAGACACGGCCCAGACUCCUACGGGAGGCAGCAGUGGGGAAUUUUGGACGAUGGGCGCAAGCCUGAUCCAGCCAUGCCGCGUGUAUGAAGAAGGCCUUCGGGUUGUAAAGGACUUUUGUCAGGGAAGAAAAGGCUGUUGCUAAUAUCGACAGCUGAUGACGGUACCUGAAGAAUAAGCACCGGCUAACUACGUG